AAGCACAUAGAAAGGAAACUUGAUACACUACACCACAACACCUAAUUAGGGGCAGUUAACUGCCGGGAGAAAUACCCGAUCAAGGGCAAAUGAACUGCCGGGAAUUGAAUAACUGCCGGUAGAAGUACUUACAGGCAGAGAAACUGCCGGGAGAAGUUAACAAACGAGGGCACCCAAAACUGCCGGCAACGAUGUCCACUUGGCAGAUCAUCCUAUCUGCCGGCCCAACUAAACCGCGGCCUGUUGUCUGCCGGGAGCUUGUAUGCUUAGCGUAACCAAAGUAGUUGGGCCAUUUCUCAAAAAAAAAAACAACACUGGGCCAAGCGCGCUCGCGCGGGACAAAGGGUGCGCGAGAUGGAAAUAUUCACAAGGUUCCUUUGGUCGUCGGCUUGAGCCCCACCAGUUCUUCCCCAAAUCUUGCAAAACCUAACCCUCAACCCCGACCACGCCGCCGCCGCCACCACCAACCACUCUACCGCAGCGCCGGCUUCCUCCCCAAACACAGUCGCCGCCGACCGCCUAGUCGUCGCCGAGCACCCUUCGCCGCUUCGUCCCCAUCCCCCGCGCACCCAGCGCCUGCUUCCUCCCGAGGAAUGCCGCCGACCGCCCUCCAUCCCCACCACAACAGCGACCUCCUCCACAGGUUUCCUCCGCCGAGCAGGCCUCCUCCUCCUCAAGCUUUCUCCCCCGAGCAGGGCCUCCUCCUCCACGAGCAUCCUUCCCCGAGCACUAAGUUGGGCUGCCUCCUGGUUCCCUCACCCGAGCAGCGGACCUUCCUGUACGGCCCCUCUCCCGAGAAGCUCCACCUCCUCUACAUCCUCCCCAAGGUGCAGCGCCGCCUCCUUGCUCACCGAGAGCACUUGGCUCAUGAGAUUUCAAUCUUUGCAAACUUUUGUUCCUUUUUUCUUCUGAGCAGUAACUAGAACGACUUCAGAAAGUGUUUGAGUUUAUAUGUCACUACAGUUCUGAAGAUAACGACUAGCUUUGUCAUCUGAUAGCCCAAGUUUUGCUUAUGGUGAAGAGAUCUUCCAUUGCAGCAAAUGGAUGCUCCAACUACAUAAUAAAUCAGUGAAUCCCAGUAGGUGUACUACAUGCAAGCUUCCGGAAAUUAGGUUUCAAGGUCGUGCUGCAAAUAUAGCUAGAGAACUUAUUUCUGUCUAUUUUUUCUGCACAUGUAGACUGAAAGUGAAGUAACGCUUCUACAGUUUAAUAGUUUUAAUUAACUAGUGAAUGUGUUAUUUUUAUGAAAAUAGAUAUAUGGGGUUUGAUCUGGAAUUUUCUUCUGUAAUUUUCUAUUGCCAGUUUGCCACUGCUCCCAGUCAUGUGAUUCAGGAAUUUAAUUAUCAGUAGUUGUCUAUCAUAGUAGAAAUCCCUUCAAGUGUUGCAACCUUUAUAAUUGAUUUGAAAAACAUUUGCCUAAUAAUUUACUCCCUCCGUCCCAUAAUGUAAGACAUAUUUCGACACUACACUAGUGUUAAAAAAUGUCUUACAUUAUGGGACGGAGGGAGUAUUUUUCUAGAGUAAAAUGAGAGCAAUUGGGUUUUGUACUGAAAUAAUAUUCCCUAAUUUUCAUUUGAUGCUUUCACUGAAAUAAUAUUUUGGAUUGUUUCUUUUGUGAUCAGUGUGCAUCUUGUUUGUCCUCUCCACCAAGCAGUGUCGACUACUCCAUACAAGCACAUAAGCUUAUGCUCUUAUGAAGUUAUGAUUAUAUAUUUACCAAUGACUAUUAUGGUUGAUAACUUUAAAGUCUUUGCUUCUAUAUAUGCAGCUGAGAAUGACUUAUAAGUUCAUGGCAAAAGCAGCAACAUGAGUACGCAACCACAAGCAAGCUGAGGGGGUAAUAAUCUUGGUAGUCAAGUCUUAGAUUCAGUAUUUUGCUUUUUGGAUACAUGAACAUUGAAACUUAUUUAGCAUUUCAUUUCUUAUAUGCUUCAUGCAAAUAAAACUGCAGUAAACAUAUGAGCCGAGAUUUUGCUCGGCAUGUGUAUGUAUGCAUGCCCUAAAUUUGCUUAGCAUUUUUAUGCAUACAACUAUUGGAAGCUUUUACAUGUCCUGGAACUGACCUUUUGCAUGCCAUGUGUUUUCUGAAGCUGAGUCUUUUGUUAUUGGCUAGUACUUGAAACAGAGUCGCAGGCCUCCUGCCAUAUAACCAUUUAUGAAGUGCAUACGUGAUGCCUUAUCUUGUAUUCCUACACAUAGUCCAGUAUUUUUUUUCAUGUGUAAAAAGUGGUUGAUCUGGCAUUACACUGUUAAGUAUUUUGUACACAUCAGGAAUCUUGUUGUAGAUACACACUGAGCUGAAAAUGUUGCUAGCAGAAAUAGGUUUUCUGUUAGCUACGCAUCUGGUUUAAAACAUGGUAUGACUACUUGCUUUGGAAUAGUAACGCCUUGAUAUUAUCUUAUCCUAUCUCAUGUAUAUUUUAGUUAUUUCUAGACAAAGCUUUAGGAACCGAGUUCACUACAACUCGAAGUCUUGUGCAUGGAGGAGAAUUUAGAUAUUUGCGCAUUCUGUACUAGUCAAAAGGUUGGCAUCACGGUUGGAAGAUCUCUGUGCUACUCUCUACACGAUGUUUCUUCUACAUGAUAGCACUUGACGUCUACAUGAUAGCACUUGAAGUCUACAUGAUGUUUCUUGUAUUCAUAGUUCAAACCAUUUGUUUAGCUUAGUUUGAACAAAAACUAUUAUUGUCUUGCAUGUAAAUAAUGUUUACUAAUGUAGCUGGAUGCUACUGAAUGCAUGUACGAAAGUCAAAAUACUAAAGUGUUAGUCAUUAAGUGUUUGAGAA
This is a long non-coding RNA of Aegilops tauschii subsp. strangulata, 2786 nucleotides long. RefSeq lists it as uncharacterized. The record is from RefSeq and is a predicted model, not a curated record. Lineage: Eukaryota; Viridiplantae; Streptophyta; Magnoliopsida; Poales; Poaceae.